Molecule: ribosomal RNA, 451 nt
Filed under: Contarinia quinquenotata
Lineage: Eukaryota; Metazoa; Arthropoda; Insecta; Diptera; Cecidomyiidae
Description: partial large subunit ribosomal RNA
Rfam family: Eukaryotic large subunit ribosomal RNA
Source: RNAcentral
CGAAACCGAUAGCGAACAAGUACCGUGAGGGAAAGUUGAAAAGUACUCUGAAUAGAGAGUUAAAUAGUACGUGAAACCGCUUAGGGGUUAAGCCCGAUGAACCCGAAUAUCUGAUGUGAGAAAUUCAAUACUGUUCAUUUUAUGGAUAGUAUGCACUUUUCUCAUAGUAAGACAUUGUAAUCCAUUGAUGCUAUAUCUCUUUCAUUUAUGGGACGAGAUGAUUUAACAUACGGACAAGAUGUAUAUGUUUAUUCUAUCAGUGAUGUGUUUACAUGUCAUAUGAAUAAGAUCGUUUUGUAUCUGUUUAAAUAGUCGAUGGAUUUUAACUGAAUCAUGCUUGCAAUUCAUUUUGCGUUUCGUGUUAUCGGCUUAUUUGGUUGGUAAUAGCAGAAAUGGCAUGCAUUCGAUUAACAAUGCGAUAGAUUUGGGAUACUUUCAGGACCCGUCUUGA